UACGUAGGGUGCAAGCGUUAAUCGGAAUUACUGGGCGUAAAGCGUGCGCAGGCGGUUAUGCAAGACAGAUGUGAAAUCCCCGGGCUUAACCUGGGAACUGCAUUUGUGACUGCAUCGCUGGAGUGCGGCAGAGGGGGAUGGAAUUCCGGCGUGUAGCAGUGAAAUGCGUAGAUAUGCGGAGGAACACCGAUGGCGAAGGCAAUCCCCUGGGCCUGCACUGACGCUCAUGCACGAAAGCGUGGGGAGCAAACAGG
This 254-nucleotide ribosomal RNA is filed under the name uncultured bacterium. RNAcentral describes it as "partial 16S ribosomal RNA". It matches the Rfam family "Bacterial small subunit ribosomal RNA", at positions 524 to 776 of the family's 1533-position model. The record is from RNAcentral.